This is a non-coding RNA of Lepisosteus oculatus (spotted gar), 430 nucleotides long. NCBI's taxonomy places the organism in Eukaryota, Metazoa, Chordata, Actinopteri, Semionotiformes, Lepisosteidae. The record is from RefSeq and is a predicted model, not a curated record.
UGUGACCCCCUAGCCUGAGGUCCAGCUCUGCUCAGGGGGUUGAGUCCAGUGCCGUUACAAGAUCUGUCUCUCGCGCGCAGUCCACCGCAAUGGAAAGUAAAUGAUAUCCACGUGAACCGAAGACCUUGUGAGCUUCCAACAGGCUAGAGCCGACUGCAGCGGGUUUAUUUAAAACGCCUGGCUGUCGCCAGAUGACGUUUUCCGGAGAUAAUAGUUCGUGCGCUUAUCGACACGAAGCUGCUCUUUAAUCAUUAAGGUGUUGAAGAGCCUUGAUGUUUCACCUGUAGAAUGCAGUUACUGAGCAGAGCAGCCUUCAAACAACGUGUUACUGGCAAACCAAGGUUGGUGAAGAGCUGGUCUCUCAGCCGCAUGGAGCGACGCGCUCUGUUUGGCGUCUCUAGCUUGCCGUAGUCCUGAUAGCGGAUAUGGU